This 497-nucleotide ribosomal RNA is filed under the name uncultured bacterium. RNAcentral describes it as "partial 16S ribosomal RNA". It matches the Rfam family "Bacterial small subunit ribosomal RNA", at positions 28 to 507 of the family's 1533-position model. The record is from RNAcentral.
GAUGAACGCUGGCGGCGUGCCUAAUACAUGCAAGUCGAGCGAACAGACGAGGAGCUUGCUCCUUUGACGUUAGCGGCGGACGGGUGAGUAACACGUGGAUAACCAACCUAUAAGACUGGGAUAACUUCGGGAAACCGGAGCUAAUACCGGAUAACAUGUUGAACCGCAUGGUUAAACAGUGAAAGACGGUCUUGCUGUCACUUAUAGAUGGAUCCGCGCCGCAUUAGCUAGUUGGUAAGGUAACGGCUUACCAAGGCAACGAUGCGUAGCCGACCUGAGAGGGUGAUCGGCCACACUGGAACUGAGACACGGUCCAGACUCCUACGGGAGGCAGCAGUAGGGAAUCUUCCGCAAUGGGCGAAAGCCUGACGGAGCAACGCCGCGUGAGUGAAGAAGGUCUUCGGAUCGUAAAACUCUGUUAUUAGGGAAGAACAAAUGUGUAAGUAACUAUGCACGUCUUGACGGUACCUAAUCAGAAAGCCACGGCUAACUACGUG